GAUGAACGCUGGCGGCGUGCCUAAUACAUGCAAGUCGAGCGAACGGACGAGAAGCUUGCUUCUCUGAUGUUAGCGGCGGACGGGGGAGUAACACGUGGAGAACCUACCUAGAAGACUGGGAUAAAGUCGGGAAACCGGAGCUAAUACCGGAUAAUAUUUUGAACAGCAUGGUUCAAAAGUGAAAGACGGUCUUGCUGUCACUUAUAGAUGGAUCCGCGCUGCAUUAGCUAGUUGGUAAGGUAACGGCUUACCAAGGCAACGAUGCAUAGCCGACCUGAGAGGGUGAUCGGCCACACUGGAACUGAGACACGGUCCAGACUCCUACGGGAGGCAGCAGUAGGGAAUCUUCCGCAAUGGGCGAAAGCCUGACGGAGCAACGCCGCGUGAGUGAUGAAGGUCUUCGGAUCGUAAAACUCUUUUAUUAGGGAAGAACAUAUGUGUAAGUAACUGUGCACACCUUGACGGUACCUAAUCAGAAAGCCCCGGCUAACUACGUG
Molecule: ribosomal RNA, 497 nt
Filed under: uncultured bacterium
Lineage: Bacteria
Description: partial 16S ribosomal RNA
Rfam family: Bacterial small subunit ribosomal RNA
Source: RNAcentral